UGGAACGCAUAGAAGUGAGAAUGCCGGUAUGAGUAGCGAAAGACAGGUGAGAAUCCUGUCCACCGUAAGACUAAGGUUUCCAGGGGAAGGCUCGUCCGCCCUGGGUUAGUCGGGACCUAAGGAGAGACCGAAAGGUGUAUCCGAUGGACAACAGGUUGAUAUUCCUGUACUAGAGUAUGUAGUGAUGGAGGGACGCAGUAGGCUAACUAAAGCAGACGAUUGGAAGAGUCUGUCUAAGCAGUGAGGUGUGAAUUGAGUCAAAUGCUUAAUUCUAUAACAUUGAGCUGUGAUGGGGAGCGAAGUUUAGUAGCGAAGUUAGUGACGUCACACUGCCAAGAAAAGCUUCUAGCGUUUAAACAUACUCUACCCGUACCGCAAACCGACACAGGUAGUCAG
This 396-nucleotide ribosomal RNA is filed under the name Klebsiella pneumoniae. Its description in RNAcentral is "partial 23S ribosomal RNA". It matches the Rfam family "Bacterial large subunit ribosomal RNA", at positions 1274 to 1670 of the family's 2925-position model. Lineage: Bacteria; Pseudomonadati; Pseudomonadota; Gammaproteobacteria; Enterobacterales; Enterobacteriaceae. The record is from RNAcentral.